This 270-nucleotide ribosomal RNA is filed under the name uncultured bacterium. Its description in RNAcentral is "partial 16S ribosomal RNA". It matches the Rfam family "Bacterial small subunit ribosomal RNA", at positions 333 to 599 of the family's 1533-position model. The record is from RNAcentral.
UUUUUCCUACGGGAGGCAGCAGUGAGGAAUAUUGGUCAAUGGGCGGAAGCCUGAACCAGCCAAGUCGCGUGAGGGAAUAAGGCCCUACGGGUCGUAAACCUCUUUUGCCGGGGAGCAAGGGCCGGGACGCGUCCCGGCCCGGAGAGUACCCGGAGAAAAAGCAUCGGCUAACUCCGUGCCAGCAGCCGCGGUAAUACGGAGGAUGCGAGCGUUAUCCGGCUUUAUUGGGUUUAAAGGGUGCGUAGGCGGGCUUUUAAGUCAGCGGGAAGA